AUUUUAUUUAGGAUAGUGAUGUAUUUAAAUUAACAUAUUUUUUAAUGAAUUGUAAAUAUAAUAAUGUAUAUAUUUAAAUUAACCUAUUUUUAUGAUUUUUUUUUUUUAUUAUAAAUUGCCAAUCCCUUUGCAGGCCCCUAAACAGUGGAAUGCAAUCCAUGUUGGACACUUAAAUCUAGAUUGAAGACUAAUUUAUUCUUUCGCCUGUGGUGUUGCCUUAGACUAUUGGGGUUAUUAAGUUGUUUAUAGUUUAUCUUGCAUGCUUUUAUUCAUAUUUUAUAAAUUUUUAUCUGUUUGUUGUUGCUUUUUGAUAUUGUUUAAUUAUGUUUAUACAUUGUACAGCACUUGUUGUUAUUUUUAAAUGUGAUUUAUAAAUAAACCCGAACUUGAAAUUAUGUAAUACAUUUCCACAAACUAUAUUGGUUAUAAAAUAUGAAUUCAUAAAACAUCUGUGCCGGUUUGAAUUGUAUUUAUUAUAAUAAUAUAUUGUAUUGAAAUGAACUUAAAGUAAUACUCAGUAGGCUACUAUAAUUUUAAACAAAUUAUGACCGUUAUUAGCUCUUCGUCACGUGAUUAAUUAUAGCCAAUGAGACAACUGCAUAACUAAUAAGCCGUCAUUCAUCGGUUGGCGGUCUUCUCUUCAGGUGAAUACUGAACGAUUUCUGAGAUUUUGUCGUCUUUCUGUGUUUUCCUCCCUGCUUCCAACUGUGGCCAUCAGCACCUUCAUUUCAAGAGGUGACAUUGCUGCUUUGAGUGUCUAUAUGCAAAUUCAGAUCUGCUACUAACCCCUUAUGCACCUAACCUUAGCUUGCAAACGCAUCUUAAAAAAAAAGGCCAAAUCCCAUGAUUUUUGAUCUAUGAUCAUCUAUGAUUCUUGAUACAUUCUGAUACACUCUUGAUUACAUACUCAAUAACACAAAGAUUUACACCCAUAUCACACUUUGAUCAAUCAAGAUCUCAAACCACAGUGUUGAAACAUCACCAUGCCAAGAAAAGGAAAGAGGAGUGAAUCACAGAAACAGCGCAGAAAGCUACAAUCUUCAUUGGGCACCAGUAACAGUACCAACUCUGUAUCAGGUAUGAGUGAGGAAAACCCGUACGUGCUGUCUGUUA
Cyprinus carpio (common carp) is the source of this 1113-nucleotide long non-coding RNA. RefSeq lists it as uncharacterized. The record is from RefSeq and is a predicted model, not a curated record. Lineage: Eukaryota; Metazoa; Chordata; Actinopteri; Cypriniformes; Cyprinidae. The transcript has 5 exons.